RNAcentral lists this long non-coding RNA (432 nucleotides) under Sorghum bicolor (sorghum). Its description in RNAcentral is "long non-coding RNA (SBIC_LNC011265)". Lineage: Eukaryota; Viridiplantae; Streptophyta; Magnoliopsida; Poales; Poaceae. The record is from RNAcentral.
GAAGUCUUCCACAACUGGAAAGAAGAAUGGACAUCGUAAUUGUUUUUAUAGUUCGUUUCUUUGUUGAGAGCUGAGACCAUUGACAUGUGAAAGACAUCAUGCUGAUGUUCCCUCCUGGGCAAUUUGCAGGCUUUUGACGAGGCCAUCUCGGAACUGGACACCCUGAGCGAGGAGUCCUACAAGGACAGCACUUUGAUCAUGCAGCUCCUCCGUGAUAACUUGACCCUAUGGACUUCUGACAUCUCGGUAAGAUCCAUGUCCCUAAUACAAAGUUCUGUUCGCACUCUUGAAUUGGAUCUUCCUGAAAUCAACCUUUUCCUGAACAAUCGCAUUUCCCUAAUACUAACUUGACCCUAUGGCUGCAGGAGGACCCUGCUGAAGAGAUCAGGGAGGCACCCAAGCGUGACUCGAGCGAGGGGCAGUAAAGCCGGC